This 253-nucleotide ribosomal RNA is filed under the name uncultured bacterium. RNAcentral's name for it is "partial 16S ribosomal RNA". It matches the Rfam family "Bacterial small subunit ribosomal RNA", at positions 524 to 776 of the family's 1533-position model. The record is from RNAcentral.
UACGAAGGGGGCUAGCGUUGCUCGGAAUCACUGGGCGUAAAGCGCACGUAGGCGGAUUGUUAAGUCAGGGGUGAAAUCCUGGAGCUCAACUCCAGAACUGCCUUUGAUACUGGCGAUCUCGAGUCCGGGAGAGGUGAGUGGAACUGCGAGUGUAGAGGUGAAAUUCGUAGAUAUUCGCAAGAACACCAGUGGCGAAGGCGGCUCACUGGCCCGGUACUGACGCUGAGGUGCAAAAGCGUGGGGAGCAAACAGG